This 478-nucleotide ribosomal RNA is filed under the name uncultured bacterium. RNAcentral's name for it is "partial 16S ribosomal RNA". It matches the Rfam family "Bacterial small subunit ribosomal RNA", at positions 28 to 507 of the family's 1533-position model. The record is from RNAcentral.
GAUGAACGCUGGCGGCGUGCCUAACACAUGCAAGUCGAACGGAGUCCAGCCUUUAAGACCUUCGGGUCAAAGAGGGGAAGACUGAGUGGCAGACGGGUGAGUAACACGUGGGCAACCUGGCUCAUAGAGGGGGAUAACAGAGAGAAAUUUCUGCUAAUACCGCAUAAGCACACACUGCCGCAUGGCAGAGGGUGAAAAGAGAAUCGCUAUGAGAUGGACCCGCGUCUGAUUAGCCAGUUGGCAGGGUAAGAGCCUACCAAAGCGACGAUCAGUAGCCGAUCUGAGAGGAUGAACGGCCACAUUGGGACUGAGACACGGCCCAAACUCCUACGGGAGGCAGCAGUGGGGGAUAUUGCACAAUGGGGGGAACCCUGAUGCAGCGACGCCGCGUGAGUGAAGAAGUAUUUCGGUAUGUAAAGCUCUAUCAGCAGGGAAGAUAAUGACAGUACCUGAAUAAGAAGCCCCGGCUAACUACGUG